GAACUUUCAACAACGGAUCUCUUGGCUCUGGCAUCGAUGAAGAACGCAGCGAAAUGCGAUAAGUAAUGUGAAUUGCAGAAUCCAGUGAAUCAUCGAAUCUUUGAACGCACAUUGCGCCCGCCAGCAUUCUGGCGGGCAUGCCUGUUCGAGCGUCAUUUC
Molecule: ribosomal RNA, 159 nt
Filed under: Beauveria bassiana
Lineage: Eukaryota; Fungi; Ascomycota; Sordariomycetes; Hypocreales; Cordycipitaceae
Description: 5.8S ribosomal RNA
Rfam family: 5.8S ribosomal RNA
About the family: 5.8S ribosomal RNA (5.8S rRNA) is a component of the large subunit of the eukaryotic ribosome.
Source: RNAcentral